UGUAAGCGUAUACCAAAGUUGUUGCAGUUAAAACGCUCGUAGUCGGAAUUUGGCAGUUCCGGAUGUGUGCACGUCGUGUGCGCACUUCGCGGGGAUUGCUUUUGUGGUCUUGCGUAGGAUGAGGCACUUUACUAGUGAACGUCCUCACGCAACCACUUUUUACUGUGAGAAAAUCAGAGUGCUCAAAGCAGGCAUUUGCCGUGAAUGUAUUAGCAUGGAAUAAUAGAAUAGGACUUGGUUCUAUUUUGUUGGUUUGUUGGGACUGAGUAAUGAUUAAGAGGGACAGUUGGGGGCAUUUGUAUUUCGGUGCUAGAGGUGAAAUUCUUAGAUUACCGAAAGACAAACUGCUGCGAAAGCGUCUGCCAAGGAUGUUUUCAUUGA
Molecule: ribosomal RNA, 381 nt
Filed under: uncultured eukaryote
Lineage: Eukaryota
Description: partial 18S ribosomal RNA
Rfam family: Eukaryotic small subunit ribosomal RNA
Source: RNAcentral